This 465-nucleotide ribosomal RNA is filed under the name uncultured bacterium. RNAcentral's name for it is "bacterial SSU rRNA". It matches the Rfam family "Bacterial small subunit ribosomal RNA", at positions 338 to 795 of the family's 1533-position model. The record is from RNAcentral.
CCUACGGGAUGCAGCAGUGGGGAAUAUUGCGCAAUGGGCGAAAGCCUGACGCAGCAAUUCCGCGUGUAUGAAGAAGGCCUUCGGGUUGUAAAGUACUUUCAGCGGGGAGGAAGGGAGUAAAGUUAAUACCUUUGCUCAUUGACGUUACCCGCAGAAGAAGCACCGGCUAACUCCGUGCCAGCAGCCGCGGUAAUACGGAGGGUGCAAGCGUUAAUCGGAAUUACUGGGCGUAAAGCGCACGCAGGCGGUUUGUUAAGUCAAAUGUGAAAUCCCCGGGCUCAACCUGGGAACUGCAUCUGAUACUGGCAAGCUUGAGUCUCGUAGAGGGGGGUAGAAUUCCAGGUGUAGCGGUGAAAUGCGUAGAGAUCUGGAGGAAUACCGGUGGCGAAGGCGGCCCCCUGGACGAAGACUGACGCUCAGGUGCGAAAGCGUGGGGAGCAAACAGGAUUAGAUACCCGGGUAGUC